RNAcentral lists this ribosomal RNA (250 nucleotides) under uncultured prokaryote. RNAcentral's name for it is "partial 16S ribosomal RNA". It matches the Rfam family "Bacterial small subunit ribosomal RNA", at positions 524 to 773 of the family's 1533-position model. The record is from RNAcentral.
UACGUAGGGGGCAAGCGUUAUCCGGAUUUACUGGGUGUAAAGGGAGCGUAGACGGUCAGUCAAGUCUGAAGUGAAAAUCCAGGGCUCAACCCUGGAACUGCUUUGGAAACUGAUUAACUAGAGUGCAGGAGAGGUAAGCGGAAUUCCUAGUGUAGCGGUGAAAUGCGUAGAUAUUAGGAGGAACACCGGUGGCGAAGGCGGCUUACUGGACUGUAACUGACGUUGAGGCUCGAAAGCGUGGGGAGCAAAC